CGCAAAACAAUAUAGAUAAUGAUAUAGAUCGAGAAAUAAUAGAAGACAAUUUUUUAAAUGACUUUGCGGGCGGUUCGAUCACAGAUUCACAAAACGAUAUAGAACGAGAAAUAGUAAACGAUAAUUCUUUAAACGACUUCACGAGCGUUACGGCCACAGCAUUAUUAGAAACGACGGCUGCCGAUUCAGUCUUAGUAACGGAUAAUAUUGAAAGAACACCUCUACGUCGUGGAAGACCUCCUCGCAUACGUGGUCGCAAUC
Molecule: non-coding RNA, 261 nt
Organism: Linepithema humile (Argentine ant)
Lineage: Eukaryota; Metazoa; Arthropoda; Insecta; Hymenoptera; Formicidae
Source: RefSeq, a predicted model, not a curated record